UACGUAGGGGGCAAGCGUUGUCCGGAAUCAUUGGGCGUAAAGCGCGUGUAGGCGGUUCGGUAAGUCGGCUGUGAAAGUCCAGGGCUCAACCCUGGGAUGCCGGUCGAUACUGCCGGACUAGAGUUCGGAAGAGGCGAGUGGAAUUCCACGUGUAGCGGUGAAAUGCGUAGAGAUGUGGAGGAACACCGGUGGCGAAGGCGGUUCUCUGGGCCUGUACUGACGCUGAGGAGCGAAAGCGUGGGGAGUGAACAGG
This 253-nucleotide ribosomal RNA is filed under the name uncultured bacterium. RNAcentral's name for it is "partial 16S ribosomal RNA". It matches the Rfam family "Bacterial small subunit ribosomal RNA", at positions 524 to 776 of the family's 1533-position model. The record is from RNAcentral.